RNAcentral lists this ribosomal RNA (468 nucleotides) under Pseudomonas sp. Its description in RNAcentral is "bacterial SSU rRNA". It matches the Rfam family "Bacterial small subunit ribosomal RNA", at positions 64 to 527 of the family's 1533-position model. The record is from RNAcentral. Lineage: Bacteria; Pseudomonadati; Pseudomonadota; Gammaproteobacteria; Pseudomonadales; Pseudomonadaceae.
GAGCGGUAGAGAGAAGCUUGCUUCUCUUGAGAGCGGCGGACGGGUGAGUAAUGCCUAGGAAUCUGCCUGGUAGUGGGGGAUAACGCUCGGAAACGGACGCUAAUACCGCAUACGUCCUACGGGAGAAAGCAGGGGACCUUCGGGCCUUGCGCUAUCAGAUGAGCCUAGGUCGGAUUAGCUAGUUGGUGAGGUAAUGGCUCACCAAGGCGACGAUCCGUAACUGGUCUGAGAGGAUGAUCAGUCACACUGGAACUGAGACACGGUCCAGACUCCUACGGGAGGCAGCAGUGGGGAAUAUUGGACAAUGGGCGAAAGCCUGAUCCAGCCAUGCCGCGUGUGUGAAGAAGGUCUUCGGAUUGUAAAGCACUUUAAGUUGGGAGGAAGGGCAGUAACCUAAUACGUUAUUGUUUUGACGUUACCGACAGAAUAAGCACCGGCUAACUCUGUGCCAGCAGCCGCGGUAAUACA